RNAcentral lists this long non-coding RNA (492 nucleotides) under Ananas comosus (pineapple). Its description in RNAcentral is "long non-coding RNA (ACOM_LNC001927)". Lineage: Eukaryota; Viridiplantae; Streptophyta; Magnoliopsida; Poales; Bromeliaceae. The record is from RNAcentral.
GACGUUUUAGAGGCGUUUUUAAAAACCCGCCUCUAAAAUCCUGAAAAAUAAAAAUCUAAAAUUCUUUUCCCCCCAAAUACACUAUUCCUAAAAAAACCCUAAAUCCAUUUGCCCCCAAAUACACUAUCCUAAAAAAACCCUAAAUCCAUUUCCCCCUAAACCUGCAGCCACCUCCAACUCUCUCCUCCCAAAAACCCACUUCGAUCUCCAUCCCUCUUCUCCCAAAAAAUCGACGGUGAUGACCGAUCUUUCCCCGACGGCUGUCGCACUCCCAGGGCGGGUCCGGUGAGGUGUCGCGUCUGCUUCGGCGACCUCUCCCCAUCAAAGUUAUCUGGUAUGCGGCGCACCCCCCCCUUCGACCUUUCUCCGGCAGCAGACCAACCUCCCCAGACGCCGCCGUUUUUUCUCCUGUAGCGCACCAGCCCCCUACCCCCCGACGCCGCCCUUUUUUCUCCGGCAGCGCACCAGUACUCCGACAGCAUACCAACCCCC